UGGGCGUAAGCGCACGCAGGCGGUUUGUUAAGUCAAUUAAAUCCCGGGCUCACCUGGGAACUAUUGAUCGGCAAGCUUGAGUCUCGUAGAGGGGUAGAAUUCCAGGUGUAGCGGUGAAAUGCGUAGAGAUCUGAGAACCGGUGGCGAAGCGGCCCCCUGACGAAGACUGACGCUCAGGUGGAAAGCGUGGGGAGCAAACAGGAUUAGAUACCCUGGUAGUCCACGCCGUAAACGAUGUCGACUUGGAGGUUGUGCCCUUGAGGCGUGGCUUCCGGAGCUAACGCGUUAAGUCGACCGCCUGGGGAGUACGGCCGCAAGGUUAAAACUCAAAUGAAUUGACGGGGGCCCGCACAAGCGGUGGAGCAUGUGGUUUAAUUCGAUGCAACGCGAAGAACCUUACCUGGUCUUGACAUCCACGGAAGUUUUCAGAGAUGAGAAUGUGCCUUCGGGAACCGUGAGACAGGUGCUGCA
RNAcentral lists this ribosomal RNA (471 nucleotides) under uncultured Gammaproteobacteria bacterium. RNAcentral describes it as "bacterial SSU rRNA". It matches the Rfam family "Bacterial small subunit ribosomal RNA", at positions 555 to 1045 of the family's 1533-position model. Lineage: Bacteria; Pseudomonadati; Pseudomonadota; Gammaproteobacteria. The record is from RNAcentral.